This 373-nucleotide ribosomal RNA is filed under the name uncultured organism. RNAcentral's name for it is "partial 16S ribosomal RNA". It matches the Rfam family "Bacterial small subunit ribosomal RNA", at positions 527 to 896 of the family's 1533-position model. The record is from RNAcentral.
GAGGGGUGCAAGCGUUAUUCGGAAUCACUGGGCGUAAAGGGUGCGUAGACGGCUUGCUAAGUCUGCUGUUAAAUUCUUCGGCUUAACCGAGGAUAUGCGGCGGAAACUGGUUUGCUUGAGGAUGGAAGAGAGAAGUGGAAUUCCCGGAGUAGCGGUAAAAUGCGUAGAUCUCGGGAGGAACACCAAUGGCGAAGGCAGCUUCUUGGUCCAUUCCUGACGUUGAGGCACGAAAGCGUGGGGAGCAAACAGGGAUUAGAUACCCUGGUAGUCCACGCUGUAAACGAUAACCACUAGACGUCAGCUAAGCGUUGCUUAGUUGGUGUCGAAGCUAACGCGUUAAGUGGUUCGCCUGGGGAGUACGGUCGCAAGAUUA